AUGUGCCAGCUUCAGCAUGCCGGCGCCCAGGCGGUUGCCGCUCUGUGGCUAGACAUGUCGGCUCUACGCACCGCCAGUCGGACCACCGACCGGCUGGAAGUCGGCGCCGGCCGUCUUGAAGCUUGGAAGGGUUCCUCGGCCCGGGCCAGAGCGCCCCGGGACUUGGAGUUCGUCAAGGCGUGGUAUCCGGGGCUGGACCUGGACCGUCUGGCCGCAUUCCGGUCAGAGGCCCAGGCUGAGCUGGAGGCUGUGGAGGGCGCCCUUGUCGAGCGUGUGGUGUCCAUCGCCGAGUACACGGACACCAGUGUCUUUGUCCUCGAGUGGGCUGAAGGCAGCGAGGAGGUGCCGCCAGAGUGGUUCGGGAUGAACCCGGAAUAUGGCGAGGACUCGGUGGAGGUGAUUGACUCCAGCACCGAGGAAGAAGGCGAGGCAGAGGACGAAGGCGUGACGGAGGUGCCAGAAGGCGAAGCGGGCGACCAGCCUCAGCUCGACCGUGCCUCUAGCAACGAGCCGCGUCCGACCGGGCCAACUGCCGCUGGCGGUGAUCAAGCCGAGACCGCCGAGCCAACUGCCCCGACGCCUGACACCGCCAUCUCCUCUAACCCUCCGAACCCGUCUCCUGCUCCUUAG
RNAcentral lists this ribosomal RNA (630 nucleotides) under Triticum aestivum (bread wheat). RNAcentral describes it as "partial small subunit ribosomal RNA". Lineage: Eukaryota; Viridiplantae; Streptophyta; Magnoliopsida; Poales; Poaceae. The record is from RNAcentral.